UUGAACGCUGGCGGCAUGCUUUACACAUGCAAGUCGAACGGCAGCGCGGGCUUCGGCCUGGCGGCGAGUGGCGAACGGGUGAGUAAUGCAUCGGAACGUGCCCAGUAGUGGGGGAUAGCCCGGCGAAAGCCGGAUUAAUACCGCAUACGACCUGAGGGUGAAAGCGGGGGACCGAAAGGCCUCGCGCUAUUGGAGCGGCCGAUGUCGGAUUAGCUAGUUGGUGGGGUAAAGGCUUACCAAGGCGACGAUCCGUAGCUGGUCUGAGAGGACGACCAGCCACACCUGGACUGGGGCCCGGCCCAGACUCCCACCGGGAGGCACCGUUGGGAAUUUUUGGCCAUGGGGGGAACCCUGAUCCAGCCAUGCCGCGUGCGGGAAGAAGGCCUUCGGGUUGUAAACCGCUUUUGUUCGGGAAGAAAUCCUCUGGGCUAAUACCCCGGGGGGAUGACGGUACCGGAAGAAUAAGCACCGGCUAACUACGUG
RNAcentral lists this ribosomal RNA (483 nucleotides) under uncultured bacterium. RNAcentral's name for it is "partial 16S ribosomal RNA". It matches the Rfam family "Bacterial small subunit ribosomal RNA", at positions 29 to 507 of the family's 1533-position model. The record is from RNAcentral.